RNAcentral lists this small nuclear RNA (107 nucleotides) under Chinchilla lanigera (long-tailed chinchilla). The record is from RNAcentral. Lineage: Eukaryota; Metazoa; Chordata; Mammalia; Rodentia; Chinchillidae.
GUGCUUGCCUCAGCAGCACAUGUACUAAAAUGGGAACAAUGCAGAGAAGAUUAGCACGGCCCCCAUGCAACAAUGACAUGCAAAUUUGUGAAGCGUUCCAUAUUUAA